Molecule: ribosomal RNA, 253 nt
Filed under: uncultured bacterium
Lineage: Bacteria
Description: partial 16S ribosomal RNA
Rfam family: Bacterial small subunit ribosomal RNA
Source: RNAcentral
UACAGGGGGUGCAAACGUUGCUCGGAAUCAUUGGGCGUAAAGCGCACGUAGGCGGUUCGUUAUGUCGGAUGUGAAAGCCCUUGGCUUAACCGAGGAAGUGCAUCCGAAACUGGCGAGCUAGAGUACGAAAGAGGAUCGCGGAAUUCCCGGUGUAGAGGUGAAAUUCGUAGAUAUCGGGAGGAACACCGGUGGCGAAGGCGGCUUUCUGGUCUGUAACUGACGCUGAGGCGCGAAAGCGUGGGGAGCAAACAGG